Molecule: long non-coding RNA, 471 nt
Organism: Diorhabda sublineata
Lineage: Eukaryota; Metazoa; Arthropoda; Insecta; Coleoptera; Chrysomelidae
Exons: 3
Source: RefSeq, a predicted model, not a curated record
UUUGUGAACUAUUGUCCAUUAGGUUUUAAGGAGUCAAAUUAUAAUAAAAUGGACAAAAAAGCAUUAGAUAAUAAAGCUAAUCAGAAGAAUUACAAUAAUGAUGCAUAUUGGAAAACUCGUGGGCACUCAGCGAAACCUAAUAAUUGGAGCCAACCAUUCAAGUCAACGAUGUCCAAACAAGAUCAGGAUUAUCGGUCAAAACAACUGAAUCCAAAUAAUAAAGCUUAUUAUGAUUCUCGAAAAAAUUGACAAAACCGUACAUUAAUCAUUCAUUUUGGUACAAAAAUGGAAUCAAAUCGCAAAAAUUACGAGGUCAACGUUUUUCUAUACCUGAAGAAGCGAUUGAUGGUUCAAAUCAUAUGUUAUGGAAGUUCCUCAAUCAAGUAGCAGCCCUCGUAUUUCUUACUUGAUGUAAUAAAUUGAUUGUAGUACUUUAUGCUAUUCAUUUCUUAAUAAAAAACUUAAAACAAG